This 668-nucleotide ribosomal RNA is filed under the name uncultured Lachnospiraceae bacterium. Its description in RNAcentral is "bacterial SSU rRNA". It matches the Rfam family "Bacterial small subunit ribosomal RNA", at positions 61 to 727 of the family's 1533-position model. The record is from RNAcentral. Lineage: Bacteria; Bacillati; Bacillota; Clostridia; Lachnospirales; Lachnospiraceae.
GUCGAACGAAACACCUUAUUUGAUUUUCUUCGGAACUGAAGAUUUGGUGAUUGAGUGGCGGACGGGUGAGUAACGCGUGGGUAACCUGCACUGUACAGGGGGAUAACAGUCAGAAAUGACUGCUAAUACCGCAUAAGACCACAGCACCGCAUGGUGCAGGGGUAAAAACUCCGGUGGUACAGGAUGGACCCGCGUCUGAUUAGCUGGUUGGUGAGGUAACGGCUCACCAAGGCGACGAUCAGUAGCCGGCUUGAGAGAGUGAACGGCCACAUUGGGACUGAGACACGGCCCAAACUCCUACGGGAGGCAGCAGUGGGGAAUAUUGCACAAUGGGGGAAACCCUGAUGCAGCGACGCCGCGUGAGUGAAGAAGUAUCUCGGUAUGUAAAGCUCUAUCAGCAGGGAAGAAAACGACGGUACCUGACUAAGAAGCCCCGGCUAACUACGUGCCAGCAGCCGCGGUAAUACGUAGGGGGCAAGCGUUAUCCGGAUUUACUGGGUGUAAAGGGAGCGUAGACGGAUGGACAAGUCUGAUGUGAAAGGCUGGGGCUCAACCCCGGGACUGCAUUGGAAACUGCCCGUCUUGAGUGCCGGAGAGGUAAGCGGAAUUCCUAGUGUAGCGGUGAAAUGCGUAGAUAUUAGGAGGAACACCAGUGGCGAAGGCGGCUU